This 460-nucleotide ribosomal RNA is filed under the name uncultured bacterium. Its description in RNAcentral is "partial 16S ribosomal RNA". It matches the Rfam family "Bacterial small subunit ribosomal RNA", at positions 338 to 795 of the family's 1533-position model. The record is from RNAcentral.
CCUACGGGGCGCAGCAGUGAGGAAUAUUGGUCAAUGGACGCAAGUCUGAACCAGCCAUGCCGCGUGCAGGAAGACGGCCCUACGAGUUGUAAACUGCUUUUGUACGAGGGUAAACGCAGAUACGUGUAUCUGUCUGAAAGUACCUUAAGAAUAAGGAUCGGCUAACUCCGUGCCAGCAGCCGCGGUAAUACGGAGGAUUCAAGCGUUAUCCGGAUUUAUUGGGUUUAAAGGGUGCGUAGGCGGUGGGGUAAGUAAGAGGUGAAAUCCCGAGGCUCAACUUCGGAAUUGCAUUUGAUACUGGGAGGCUAGAGUACAGUUGCGGUAGGCGGAAUGUGUGGUGUAGCGGUGAAAUGCUUAGAGAUCAUGCAGAACACCGAUUGCGAAGGCAGCUUACUAAGCUACUACUGACGUUGAUGCACGAAAGCGUGGGGAGCAAACAGGAUUAGAUACCCCUGUAGUC